CCCUUAGAUGUUCUGGGCCGCACGCGCGCUACACUGACGAUGGCAACGAGUUUUUCCUUCGCCGAAAGGUGUGGGUAAUCUUUUGAAACAUCGUCGUGCUGGGGAUAGAUCAUUGCAAUUUUUGAUCUUGAACGAGGAAUUCCUAGUAAGCGCGAGUCAUCAGCUCGCGUUGAUUACGUCCCUGCCCUUUGUACACACCGCCCGUCGCUACUACCGAUUGAAUGGUUUAGUGAGGACUCCUGAUUGGCGCCGCCGCCCCGGCAACGGAGCAGCGAACUGCCGAAAAGUUGUUCAAACUUGAUCAUUUAGAGGAAGUAAAAGUCGUAACA
RNAcentral lists this ribosomal RNA (329 nucleotides) under uncultured eukaryote. RNAcentral describes it as "partial 18S ribosomal RNA". It matches the Rfam family "Eukaryotic small subunit ribosomal RNA", at positions 1470 to 1796 of the family's 1831-position model. The record is from RNAcentral.